GACGAACGCUGGCGGCGUGCUUAACACAUGCAAGUCGAACGAUGAAGCCGGAGCUUGCUCUGGUGAAUUAGUGGCGAACGGGUGAGUAACACGUGAGUAACCCGCCCUUGACUCUGGGAUAACUGCGGGAAACUGUAGCUAAUACCGGAUACGACCCUCGGAGGCAUCUCCUGGGGGUGGAAAGAAUUUCGGUCAAGGAUGGACUCGCGGCCUAUCAGCUAGUUGGUGAGGUAAAGGCUCACCAAGGCGACAACGGGUAGCCGGCCGGAGAGGGUGACCGGCCAAACUGGGACUGAGACACGGCCCAGACUCCUACGGGAGGCAGCAGUGGGGAAUAUUGCACAAUGGGCGCAAGCCUGAUGCAGCAACGCCGCGUGAGGGAUGACGGCCUUCGGGUUGUAAACCUCUUUUAGCAGGGAAGAAGCGAAAGUGACGGUACCUGCAGAAAAAGCACCGGCUAACUACGUGCCAGCCGCCGCCGUAA
RNAcentral lists this ribosomal RNA (484 nucleotides) under uncultured bacterium. RNAcentral's name for it is "partial 16S ribosomal RNA". It matches the Rfam family "Bacterial small subunit ribosomal RNA", at positions 28 to 523 of the family's 1533-position model. The record is from RNAcentral.